This 75-nucleotide transfer RNA is filed under the name Spartobacteria bacterium LR76. Its description in RNAcentral is "tRNA-Lys". It matches the Rfam family "tRNA". Rfam says of the family: Transfer RNA (tRNA) molecules are approximately 80 nucleotides in length. Their secondary structure includes four short double-helical elements and three loops (D, anti-codon, and T loops). The record is from RNAcentral. Lineage: Bacteria; Pseudomonadati; Verrucomicrobiota; Spartobacteria.
GCGUCGCUGGCGCAAUGGGAGAGCAGGAGACUCUUAAUCUCUUGAUUGUAGGGUCGAGUCCUACGCGACACAUCA